UGUGGGAGCGAGCCUGCUCGCGAUAGCGGUCUCGCGUUCAGCAUCAUUGUUGUCUGACACGCCGCCAUCGCGAGCAAGCUCGCUCCCACA
This 90-nucleotide unclassified non-coding RNA is filed under the name Pseudomonas reinekei. Lineage: Bacteria; Pseudomonadati; Pseudomonadota; Gammaproteobacteria; Pseudomonadales; Pseudomonadaceae. The record is from RNAcentral.